GAUGAACGCUGGCGGCGUGCCUAAUACAUGCAAGUCGAGCGAACAGACGAGGAGCUUGCUCCUCUGACGUUAGCGGCGGACGGGUGAGUAACACGUGGAUAACCUACCUAUAAGACUGGGAUAACUUCGGGAAACCGGAGCUAAUACCGGAUAAUAUAUUGAACCGCAUGGUUCAAUAGUGUAAGACGGUUUUGCUGUCACUUAUAGAUGGAUCCGCGCCGCAUUAGCUAGUUGGUAAGGUAACGGCUUACCAAGGCGACGAUGCGUAGCCGACCUGAGAGGGUGAUCGGCCACACUGGAACUGAGACACGGUCCAGACUCCUACGGGAGGCAGCAGUAGGGAAUCUUCCGCAAUGGGCGAAAGCUUGACGGAGCAAAGCCGCGUGAGUGAUGAAGGUCUUCGGAUCGUAAAACUCUGUUAUUAGGGAAGAACAAAUGUGUAAGUAACUAUGCGCGGAUUGACGGUACCUAAUCAGAAAGCCACGGCUAACUACGUG
RNAcentral lists this ribosomal RNA (497 nucleotides) under uncultured bacterium. Its description in RNAcentral is "partial 16S ribosomal RNA". It matches the Rfam family "Bacterial small subunit ribosomal RNA", at positions 28 to 507 of the family's 1533-position model. The record is from RNAcentral.